UACGGGGGGGGCAAGCGUUGUUCGGAAUUACUGGGCGUAAAGGGCUCGUAGGCGGCCAACUAAGUCGGAGGUGAAAUCCCCAGGCUUAACCUGGGAACUGCAUCCGAUACUGGAUGGCUUGAAUUCGGGAGAGGGAUGCAGAAUUCCAGGUGUAGCGGUGAAAUGCGUAGAUAUCUGGAGGAAUACCGGUGGCGAAGGCGGCAUCCUGGACCGACAUUGACGCUGAUGAGCGAAAGCUAGGGGAGCAAACGGG
RNAcentral lists this ribosomal RNA (253 nucleotides) under uncultured bacterium. RNAcentral's name for it is "partial 16S ribosomal RNA". It matches the Rfam family "Bacterial small subunit ribosomal RNA", at positions 524 to 776 of the family's 1533-position model. The record is from RNAcentral.